This 346-nucleotide ribosomal RNA is filed under the name uncultured bacterium. RNAcentral describes it as "bacterial SSU rRNA". It matches the Rfam family "Bacterial small subunit ribosomal RNA", at positions 8 to 349 of the family's 1533-position model. The record is from RNAcentral.
AGAGUUUGAUCCUGGCUCAGGACGAACGCUGGCGGCGCGCCUAACACAUGCAAGUCGAACGAGCGAGAGAGAGCUUGCUUUCUCGAGCGAGUGGCGAACGGGUGAGUAACGCGUGAGGAACCUGCCUCAAAGAGGGGGACAACAGUUGGAAACGACUGCUAAUACCGCAUAAGCCCACGGCUCGGCAUCGAGCAGAGGGAAAAGGAGCAAUCCGCUUUGAGAUGGCCUCGCGUCCGAUUAGCUAGUUGGUGAGGUAACGGCCACCAAGGCACGGAUCGGUAGCCGGACUGGAGAGGUUGAACGGCCACAUUGGGACUGAGACACGGCCCAGACUCCUACGGGAGCA